UACGUUGCUUACAGCCAAUUUGAUGCUUCACGCCAAGCUUUUUCUCCAUCUUUCCCAAGGCCAAAUCAUUUCUGUUUUUUUUCUUCUUUUUUUCUUCAUUUAAUUUUAUUAAAUUAAACUUCUCUUCAUUCCAACAUGCACCAUCUUUCGAUAACUUCGGAAGAAAUUUAUCCCUAUUUCUCGACUUGCUUGAAAAAUAGAGAAAGAUACAUAUUACCAUAAAACUAAAAAGUGUUAUUGUGUUAAGUUUUAGUAAUAUAUUCUAGUUUUUGUGUGUUUUUUUUUUUUUUGGGAAUGUGUAUAGAAUGAUGUAUAUACUAUGCUUUUGGGAACUUUGAGUGUAAGCCAAGUCGUCUUUUUAAA
RNAcentral lists this long non-coding RNA (363 nucleotides) under Capsella rubella. RNAcentral's name for it is "long non-coding RNA (CRUB_LNC004794)". Lineage: Eukaryota; Viridiplantae; Streptophyta; Magnoliopsida; Brassicales; Brassicaceae. The record is from RNAcentral.